This 253-nucleotide ribosomal RNA is filed under the name uncultured bacterium. RNAcentral describes it as "partial 16S ribosomal RNA". It matches the Rfam family "Bacterial small subunit ribosomal RNA", at positions 524 to 776 of the family's 1533-position model. The record is from RNAcentral.
UACGUAGGGUGCAAGCGUUAAUCGGAAUUACUGGGCGUAAAGCGUGCGCAGGCGGUUUCGUAAGUCUGUCGUGAAAUCCCCGGGCUUAACCUGGGAAUGGCGAUGGAGACUGCGAGGCUAGAGUUUGGCAGAGGGGGGUAGAAUUCCACGUGUAGCAGUGAAAUGCGUAGAGAUGUGGAGGAACACCGAUGGCGAAGGCAGCCCCCUGGGUCAAAACUGACUCUCAUGCACGAAAGCGUGGGGAGCAAACAGG